This 33-nucleotide ribosomal RNA is filed under the name Chaetoceros calcitrans f. pumilus. Its description in RNAcentral is "partial 18S ribosomal RNA". Lineage: Eukaryota; Bacillariophyta; Thalassiosirophyceae; Chaetocerotales; Chaetocerotaceae. The record is from RNAcentral.
GAUCCGGUUUCCGUAGGUGAACCUGCGGAAGGA